CCUACGGGCGGCAGCAGUGGGGAAUUUUGGACAAUGGGCGCAAGCCUGAUCGAGCCAUGCCGCGUGUCUGAAGAAGGCCUUCGGGUUGUAAAGGACUGUUGUCAGGGAAGAAAAGGACAGGGUUAAUACCCCUGUCUGAUGACGGUACCUGAAGAAUAAGCACCGGCUAACUACGUGCCAGCAGCCGCGGUAAUACGUAGGGUGCGAGCGUUAAUCGGAAUUACUGGGCGUAAAGCGAGCGCAGACGGUUACUUAAGCAGGAUGUGAAAUCCCCGGGCUCAACCUGGGAACUGCGUUCUGAACUGGGUGACUAGAGUGUGUCAGAGGGAGGUAGAAUUCCACGUGUAGCAGUGAAAUGCGUAGAGAUGUGGAGGAAUACCGAUGGCGAAGGCAGCCUCCUGGGAUAAAACUGACGUUCAUGCUCGAAAGCGUGGGUAGCAAACAGGAUUAGAUACCCCGGUAGUC
Molecule: ribosomal RNA, 465 nt
Filed under: uncultured Neisseria sp.
Lineage: Bacteria; Pseudomonadati; Pseudomonadota; Betaproteobacteria; Neisseriales; Neisseriaceae
Description: bacterial SSU rRNA
Rfam family: Bacterial small subunit ribosomal RNA
Source: RNAcentral